This 343-nucleotide unclassified non-coding RNA is filed under the name soil metagenome. RNAcentral describes it as "partial contains 5.8S ribosomal RNA, internal transcribed spacer 2, and large subunit ribosomal RNA". The stretch from base 1 to 120 matches the Rfam family "5.8S ribosomal RNA", at positions 35 to 154 of the family's 154-position model. The record is from RNAcentral.
GAUGAAGAACGCAGCGAAAUGCGAUAAGUAAUGUGAAUUGCAGAAUUCAGUGAAUCAUCGAAUCUUUGAACGCACAUUGCGCCCGCCAGCAUUCUGGCGGGCAUGCCUGUUCGAGCGUCAUUUCAACCCUCGAGCCCCCCCGGGGGCCUCGGUGUUGGGGGACGGCACCCCAGCCGCCCCCGAAAUGCAGUGGCGACCCCGCCGCAGCCUCCCCUGCGUAGUAGCACACACCUCGCACCGGAGCGCGGAGGCGGUCACGCCGUAAAACGCCCAACUUUCUUAGAGUUGACCUCGGAUCAGGUAGGAAUACCCGCUGAACUUAAGCAUAUCAAUAAGCGGAGGA